GAUGAAGAACGUAGCGAAAUGCGAUAAGUAGUGUGAAUUGCAGAUUUCAGUGAAUCAUCGAAUCUUUGAACGCACAUUGCGCCCCUUGGUAUUCCAUGGGGCAUGCCUGUUCGAGCGUCAUUUGUACCUUCAAGCUUUGCUUGGUGUUGGGUGUUUGUCCCGAGGGACUCGCCUUAAAGUAAUUGGCAGCCAGUGUUUGGUUUUGAAGCGCAGCACAAGUCGCGAUUCAAGGCUACACGCCCGCUUCCACAAGCCUUUUUUCACUUUUGACCUCGGAUCAGGUAGGGAUACCCGCUGAACUUAAGCAUAUCAAUAAGCGGAGGA
This 324-nucleotide unclassified non-coding RNA is filed under the name soil metagenome. RNAcentral describes it as "partial contains 5.8S ribosomal RNA, internal transcribed spacer 2, and large subunit ribosomal RNA". The stretch from base 1 to 120 matches the Rfam family "5.8S ribosomal RNA", at positions 35 to 154 of the family's 154-position model. The record is from RNAcentral.